RNAcentral lists this unclassified non-coding RNA (345 nucleotides) under soil metagenome. RNAcentral describes it as "partial contains 5.8S ribosomal RNA, internal transcribed spacer 2, and large subunit ribosomal RNA". The stretch from base 1 to 119 matches the Rfam family "5.8S ribosomal RNA", at positions 35 to 154 of the family's 154-position model. The record is from RNAcentral.
GAUGAAGAACGCAGCGAAAUGCGAUACGUAAUGUGAAUUGCAAAUUCAGUGAAUCAUCGAGUCUUUGAACGCACAAUGCGCCCCCUGGUAUUCCGGGGGGCAUGCCUGUCCGAGCGUCAUUGCUGCCCUCAAGCACGGCUUGUGUGUUGGGCCCCGUCCUCCGAUCCCGGGGGACGGGCCCGAAAGGCAGCGGCGGCACCGCGUCCGGUCCUCGAGCGUAUGGGGCUUUGUCACCCGCUCUGUAGGCCCGGCCGGCGCUUGCCGAUCAACCCAAAUUUUUAUCCAGGUUGACCUCGGAUCAGGUAGGGAUACCCGCUGAACUUAAGCAUAUCAAUAAGCGGAGGA